UACAUAGGGGCAAGCGUUAUCCGGAUUACUGGGUGUAAGGGUACGUAGGCGGCCCAUUAAGUCAGAUGUGAAAGCCCCGGAGCUCAACUCCGGGAUUGCAUUUGAAACUGGUGGGCUAGAGUACAGGAGGAGGAAAGUGGAAUUCCUAGUGUAGCGGUGAAAUGCGUAGAUAUUAGGAAGAACACCAGUGGCGAAGGCGGCUUUCUGGACUGUAACUGACGCUGAGGUACGAAAGCGUGGGGAGCGAACAGGAUUAGAUACCCCUGUAGU
Molecule: ribosomal RNA, 270 nt
Filed under: uncultured bacterium
Lineage: Bacteria
Description: partial 16S ribosomal RNA
Rfam family: Bacterial small subunit ribosomal RNA
Source: RNAcentral